This is a long non-coding RNA of Oncorhynchus tshawytscha (Chinook salmon), 507 nucleotides long. RefSeq lists it as uncharacterized. The transcript is spliced from 3 exons. NCBI's taxonomy places the organism in Eukaryota, Metazoa, Chordata, Actinopteri, Salmoniformes, Salmonidae. The record is from RefSeq and is a predicted model, not a curated record.
CCUACUGUAAUGGAGGGUAGGCCGGACAUUGCUCCUAUCAGGCCCUUUUCCGGUUCCUGCUUUGAAGAAUGAAUUCAUUACAUUUUGUGACAACAAAGUACGGGGAAAAGGGAAGAACAAUUGUCCUACCAGCUACCCCUACACCCAUUAAAACCAGCAGCCACCACAAUAUCUAUUUCCUGUGAUUUAUGUUUCAUUUCUGCGGUACAGUUGAUAACCAUGGCAAUGAACGCUAAGAAACCAACCUUGGUGAAACACGUUAUUUCGAUCACUCGGCCCAGCGUCGUUCGGGCACAAUCUACCUGGCACCUCUACAAGCAAGUCAAAACCGUUACACCCAACCCUACCUGAUUGCUUCAAUCAAAUCUCAGCAGUAAGGGCAUCUCCCUCUAUGAAGGCCAUGCCUUUGUAGUCCUCCUCAUCCUGCAGGCCUUCUGCAGCAAUGACCUGCUCAUCUGCUGUCAUUGUCCUGCCUUUCCAAAUCAUGUCCAAUGAAUUGAAUUUACC